RNAcentral lists this ribosomal RNA (292 nucleotides) under uncultured bacterium. RNAcentral's name for it is "partial 16S ribosomal RNA". It matches the Rfam family "Bacterial small subunit ribosomal RNA", at positions 505 to 796 of the family's 1533-position model. The record is from RNAcentral.
GUGUCAGCAGCCGCGGUAAUACGGGGGGUGCAAGCGUUAUUCGGAUUUACUGGGCGUAAAGCGCGCGCAGGCGGUUUUGUAAGUCAGAUGUGAAAGCCCUGGGCUCAACCCGGGAAGUGCAUCUGAUACUGCAAGACUUGAGUAUGGGAGAGGGAAGUGGAAUUCCUGGUGUAGAGGUGAAAUUCGUAGAUAUCAGGAGGAACAUCGGUGGCGAAGGCGACUUCCUGGACCAAUACUGACGCUGAGGCGCGAAGGCGUGGGGAGCAAACAGGAUUAGAAACCCGCGUAGUCC